This 432-nucleotide unclassified non-coding RNA is filed under the name soil metagenome. RNAcentral's name for it is "partial contains 5.8S ribosomal RNA, internal transcribed spacer 2, and large subunit ribosomal RNA". The stretch from base 1 to 120 matches the Rfam family "5.8S ribosomal RNA", at positions 35 to 154 of the family's 154-position model. The record is from RNAcentral.
GAUGAAGAACGCAGUGAAAUGCGAUGCGUAAUGUGAAUUGCAGAAUUCAGUGAAUCAUCGAAUCUUUGAACGCAUAUUGCGCUCUCUGGUAUUCCGGAGAGCAUGCUUGUUUGAGUAUCAGUAAACACCUCAACUUCCAUAUCUUUUUUGAAAUGGGAGUUGGACUUGAGUGAUCCCAACGCUUUUCCUCACCGAAAAGUGGCGGGUUACUUGAAAUGCAGGUGCAGCUGGACUUUUCUCUGAGCUAUAAGCAUAUCUAUUUAGUCUGCCUAAAAAACAGAUUAUUACCUUUGCUGCAGCUAACAUAAAGGAGAUUAGUUCUUGUGCUGACUGAUGCAGGAUUCACAAAGACGGCUUCGGCCGACUUUGUAAACUCGAUCUCAAAUCAAGUAAGACUACCCGCUGAACUUAAGCAUAUCAAUAAGCGGAGGA